Molecule: long non-coding RNA, 417 nt
Organism: Homarus americanus (American lobster)
Lineage: Eukaryota; Metazoa; Arthropoda; Malacostraca; Decapoda; Nephropidae
Exons: 4
Source: RefSeq, a predicted model, not a curated record
GAACGAAUAUGGGGGGGGAGAGACGCCAUGGCGUUGUUUACAUCCCGGGGCCCAGUAGCAGGUCCCAGCCUCUUCCUUCUCGGGUGAUUUCUAGAGUAAAUAAUUGAGAGAAGACUACAAGUGUGUCCCAUCCCUGAAUUGGGAGUUCCCUGCUUUGUGCUUUUAAGUCAGGCCAACAGGUUGAGACACAAGCUGUUUUGGUCAGGACUUGAGGAUGUUGACCAGAGUCCGCUAAUAUCCUUCAAUAUUUAGUGUUACAGACACCUGCUCCAAGUGAUACGCCAUGACAGAAGUGUUCCGGUUCGGCCUCGUGUCCAUCGCUUGUCGUGCCCGGAAUGAGGACCGCAGCCAAGUGGCAUUGAGUCUCAACAACAAUGAAGUGAAUAUAUAUGGCAGAGCUGCAUCAGAGUGGAAGCU